GACGAACGCUGGCGGCGUGCUUAACACAUGCAAGUCGAACGAAGUGGCGAACGGGUGAGUAACGCGUAAUCAACCUGCCCUUCAGAGGGGGUCAACAGUUGGAAACGACUACUAAUACCGCAUACUGAAGGAGGGGUUUGCGUCUGAUUAGCUAGCUGGGGGGGUAACGGCCCACCAAGGCGAUGAGCAGUCGCUGGUGUGAGAGGCUGAACGGACACAUUGGGACAUGGACACGGCCCAGACUCCUACGGGAGGCAGAAGUGGGGAAUCUUCCGAAAUGGGGGAAAGACGGACGGAGAAACGCCGCGUGAGUGAUGACGGCCCUCGGGUUGUAAAGCUCUGUUAAUCGGGACGCGGUACCGGAAGAGAAAGCCACGGCUAACUACGUGCCAGCAGCCGCGGUAAUAC
RNAcentral lists this ribosomal RNA (408 nucleotides) under uncultured bacterium. RNAcentral's name for it is "partial 16S ribosomal RNA". It matches the Rfam family "Bacterial small subunit ribosomal RNA", at positions 28 to 526 of the family's 1533-position model. The record is from RNAcentral.